Molecule: long non-coding RNA, 2241 nt
Filed under: Anas platyrhynchos platyrhynchos (common mallard)
Lineage: Eukaryota; Metazoa; Chordata; Aves; Anseriformes; Anatidae
Description: lncRNA (ENSAPLG00000021192.1)
Source: RNAcentral
CUUGGUCUGGGGCUAAGAGUUUUCUGAAUUCUGUUAUUGAAGGAGAUAUAUGGAGCCCUUUGAGUAGAAAUAAAAUUAGAUAAACCUCAAAACAGAGCACCCUUUUCCCCAUUUUUUAAAAAAUAUAUCUACAGAAAUAAAAUCCAAGAUUGAACAGAACUUGAAAAAGAAAAGUCGAACAAUGUUCUUGAAUUAAAUGUCAAAGGGAGGGGGAAAAAGAAUAAAACAACACUAGGGAUAAAAGACAUAAGGAAGUCUGGAAGUAUCAGUAACUUGACAUGAAUGGAGCUCCAAGUAGUCACAAAAUACAAAGCUGACUUCCAAAGCUCAGGAAUCAAGCUAGAAAAUUAUGUCUUUUUAAAAGAAAGGCAACUUUACUCCAGUUUCUAGGCCUUGAGAAGAUACAGCAGUCUUCUUUUGUUCCAAGUUAUUUUUGCUCUGCUGUCACCACAGCUAGAAGCUUAAUUCAUACAAGUCUGAAAUUCUUGAACAAUUAGUCGGCUUUCUGAGAGGCCACAAAUAUUAAUAGACUCAUGAGAAAGUCUUAUGAACUGGCAAGGCUGAAUCAGGAACCCCUAGUGUCAGAGCAAACCCAAACAGAGACAACAUGAAUUGCUGAUUGAAGCCAGGGCAAAUCUCUCUAUAAAUCCUGUGUGAGCCAGAGAUUCUCUGUGUGACCUUUGGCAAUUUGUAUGGCCUUGGUGUGUUCCUCUGUCUACUCAGCUGGAAAACUGGUUUGAAAAAAAAAAAAAAAAAAAAAAAGCAGGAGCUGACCAAAAACCAGAUGCUGAGUAUGAGCUAAGCCUUUCCAGAUCACAGCAACAGUGCUUCGCACAAAACAGCGGCCAGCAUCGUUUGCCCCUGGGGCUGCAGGGACAUACAUCCAGAAAAGAAAAAUCCGCUCCUGUGCUGGAACCAGCUUCUCCAAGCUGGGCUCUCACUCCAGCAGUGGCUGUACCAGGCUCAAGCAUGACUGCCCUCCUUCCCUGGGGGACAGGAGCUCUGCCACACACCCAGCAGCUGGGCAGCCCUGCGGGGAUCCUGGAGGAGGGGUGCCACAGCAAGACCAAAAAGGUUCCCUGAGCGUGGAGGUGAUCAGUUGUGCACAUCAGUGCACUCAGCAGAGCAAGGUUCAAGAUCAACACCGUUACACAAUAAAGCAGCAGCUCACUUGCCCCUGUUUAAGGAUUUCAGCACACAGGUUCACAGCCCUGGAUGCUGCUGAAGAAAAACUUUGCUAGCAGGAAGGUACUGGAACACAGCACUGGUAUGAAGGACAUGGGUGUUUUUCCAAGAAACUUGAAUCAGUCCAGGCUUUAAGUUUCAUUUCCCUCAGCAACACUAGGCAAGAUCAGGCACAGCAAGACUAUUGCAGCCUACUUUUUGUCAGCGGCUUGCAAACAGAAACUCAACAGCUUAACAGUUUAACACAGCUGGGGAUAUUCAGCUUCAAUGACUAAAUAUGCCUGAAAGAUGUCAUAGCUGACUUGGAGGAUUUUACAUUUAUUCUGCCCGAAGACUCACUGUAACACUGUUUGUCACUGCAGGUAAUUGGCCCUGCUCAGUCUCUGUGUUCAACAAAGAAAGGCUCCAGAUCUUACUGUCUGUGGGUGAAAAGGAGAGCAUUUUUCAGUCCAUCUUGGCUGUAGGUUUCAAUAUUUCUUUUCUAAGGAGAAGAAAGCAAAGAAGUUUACAGCUGCUUCUGAGGGACAGAUUCACAGGGAUGAGCAGAGUUGGGUACUAGAGGGAAAAAAAAAAUACUUGGAGAGACUUGCAGCUUCUCUCCCUCACUAGCAAGUCCCUAAGCACCUCUGGCCACACAACACACAGGAUUAGGACUCCUCUACCUGCCUUUCCCAACCUAUUGAAGGUGUACCUCUCCUUACUUUCAGCAGGUAUUUACCCCAGCACUGCCUUUUACCUAUGAGAUACUUUUGACAGCGCUGCCCUACUUCUUCCUCUUCCUCAUUUUUGGGCACCAAAGUGCUCAGGGCCCUUCCUGAUCAGCUUUUUUUUGCCCUGCUUCAAGCAUGUGGAGGGUCCUGGCUCUAGCCCAGGUAAAGAUCGUUUCUGUUUCAGGUUACUCUGCUAAAGGAAAAUCUCAUUCAUCUUUCUCAUUUCCACAUUCUCAAGAUACCACAAGCACCUUCUCAAUAUCUUCUUCUAGAUAAUCUUUUGCAGCCUGGUGGGUUGUUGGUGGGGACGGUAAGAAAAAGAUAAGUGGAAAGGAGCAGGCAGGAC